This 582-nucleotide ribosomal RNA is filed under the name uncultured bacterium. RNAcentral describes it as "partial 16S ribosomal RNA". It matches the Rfam family "Bacterial small subunit ribosomal RNA", at positions 355 to 926 of the family's 1533-position model. The record is from RNAcentral.
UGGGGAAUUUUGGACAAUGGGCGAAAGCCUGAUCCAGCAAUGCCGCGUGUGUGAAGAAGGCCUUCGGGUCGUAAAGCACUUUUGUCCGGAAAGAAAUCCUUGGCUCUAAUACAGUCGGGGGAUGACGGUACCGGAAGAAUAAGCACCGGCUAACUACGUGCCAGCAGCCGCGGUAAUACGUAGGGUGCAAGCGUUAAUCGGAAUUACUGGGCGUAAAGCGUGCGCAGGCGGUUUGCUAAGACCGAUGUGAAAUCCCCGGGCUCAACCUGGGAACUGCAUUGGUGACUGGCAGGCUAGAGUAUGGCAGAGGGGGGUAGAAUUCCACGUGUAGCAAUGAAAUGCGUAGAGAUGUGGAGGAAUACCGAUGGCGAAGGCAGCCCCCUGGGCCAAAUACUGACGCUCAUGCACGAAAAGCGUGGGGGAGCAAAACAGGAUUAGAUACCCUGGUAGUCCACGCCCUAAACGAUGUCAACUAGUUGUUGGGGAUUCAUUUCCUUAGUAACGUAGCUAACGCGUGAAGUUGACCGCCUGGGGAGUACGGUCGCAAGAUUAAAACUUAAAUGAAUUGACGGGGUCAUAGCU